This 254-nucleotide ribosomal RNA is filed under the name uncultured bacterium. Its description in RNAcentral is "partial 16S ribosomal RNA". It matches the Rfam family "Bacterial small subunit ribosomal RNA", at positions 524 to 776 of the family's 1533-position model. The record is from RNAcentral.
GACGAAGGGGGGCUAGCGUUGUUCGGAAUUACUGGGCGUAAAGCGAGUGUAGGUGGUUGUCACAGUCAGGUAUGAAAGCCUUGAGCUCAACUCAAGAAAUGCACUUGAUACUAGGCGACUAGAGGACCGGAGAGGAUAGUGGAAUUCCCAGUGUAGUGGUGAAAUACGUAGAGAUUGGGAAGAACACCAGUGGCGAAGGCGGCUAUCUGGACGGUUUCUGACACUAAGACUCGAAAGCGUGGGGAGCAAACAGG